Lingula anatina is the source of this 495-nucleotide long non-coding RNA. The record is from RefSeq and is a predicted model, not a curated record. Lineage: Eukaryota; Metazoa; Brachiopoda; Lingulata; Lingulida; Lingulidae.
GGGACUGUUGACAGCCAAAGAGAGACAAGAAGAAAAAUCUGAAAAAAGUGAAGUUCUGUUGGAUUUUGAUCUCCAGGUCUUUAAAAAGACAGACAGCUUAUCAGCAAGAUAGAAGUGUUUUUGUGAAAUAACCUCAACAAGACAUCAAAGCUAAGUGGAAGAGAAGCAGAGAUGAUAGAUGCGAGAUCUCGGAAAGUUCAAUGCACAAGAGAUGUGAAGGUCCCACAGUGGUCUGCCUGAACAGAGAGGGAGAACUUUUCUAAAAUGGUUUAAAGAUUGCACUGGAAUGGGCAGCAUUGGAGAGAGGCCUUCCUGAGAUUUCUUAUUUUAAAAUCUACAAUGAUUCUGAUGAUCUCUAGAUUAGAGUAGCAGAAAAGGAGAAUAUAUUCAGAUAUCAAGGCAGGGAUUUGUGGAGACUUGAUGACAGCUGUGAUAAAGAGGGAUUUAUAAAAAGUUCCAUUACUUGUUCUUAAGGGUCAAGAAACAUUAGUCCAA